RNAcentral lists this long non-coding RNA (167 nucleotides) under Ornithorhynchus anatinus (platypus). RNAcentral describes it as "lncRNA (ENSOANG00000037380.1)". The record is from RNAcentral. Lineage: Eukaryota; Metazoa; Chordata; Mammalia; Monotremata; Ornithorhynchidae.
AUGAGCUACAUCGGAUUCCCAGAAAGCUUCAGGCAAGAAGAACUGGUCGUAGAAAUGGAUGCCAACAAGGGGCUUUCGCUGAUGGAGCUGAGCCCGCCCCACCCCUGGGAGGUACACCCGCGGACCCCUGAAACCCUGGCCUUCGGAGAGGUGCAGGUAAGACCCCC